RNAcentral lists this ribosomal RNA (465 nucleotides) under uncultured bacterium. RNAcentral describes it as "bacterial SSU rRNA". It matches the Rfam family "Bacterial small subunit ribosomal RNA", at positions 331 to 792 of the family's 1533-position model. The record is from RNAcentral.
CCAGACUCCUACGGGAGGCAGCAGUGAGGAAUAUUGGUCAAUGGGCUUACGCCUGAACCAGCCAAGUCGCGUGAGGGAAGACUGCCCCAUGGGUUGUAAACCUCUUUUGUCAGGGAGCAAUUGGCGCUACGUGUCGCGUUAUCGAGAGUACCUGAAGAAAAAGCAUCGGCUAACUCCGUGCCAGCAGCCGCGGUAAUACGGAGGAUGCGAGCGUUAUCCGGGUUUAUUGGGUUUAAAGGGUGGGGAAGGGGGGAUGCCAGGUCAGCGGUAAAAUCGGGGGGCCAAACCCCGCUCCGCCGUUGAAACUGGCGUUCUUGAGUGGGCGAGAAGUAUGCGGAAUGCGUGGUGUAGCGGUGAAAUGCAUAGAUAUCACGCAGAACUCCGAUUGCGAAGGCAGCAUACCGGCGCCCAACUGACGCUGAAGCACGAAAGCGUGGGUAUCGAACAGGAUUAGAUACCCUGGUA